This 86-nucleotide transfer RNA is filed under the name Nematostella vectensis (starlet sea anemone). It matches the Rfam family "tRNA". From Rfam's summary of the family: Transfer RNA (tRNA) molecules are approximately 80 nucleotides in length. Their secondary structure includes four short double-helical elements and three loops (D, anti-codon, and T loops). Lineage: Eukaryota; Metazoa; Cnidaria; Anthozoa; Actiniaria; Edwardsiidae. The record is from Rfam by way of RNAcentral.
GCCUCGUUAGCGCAGUAGGCAGCGCGUCAGUCAAAUACUCAAAUCUACAAAUCUGAAGGUCGUGAGUUCGAUCCUCACACAGGGCA